RNAcentral lists this long non-coding RNA (521 nucleotides) under Setaria viridis. RNAcentral's name for it is "long non-coding RNA (SVIR_LNC006683)". The record is from RNAcentral. Lineage: Eukaryota; Viridiplantae; Streptophyta; Magnoliopsida; Poales; Poaceae.
UGGCUAGUUCUCGCGGAAACACCCAAGGGGUUCACGGCUCGUCCAUGAGACCGUAAUCGGGACCUAAGUCACCAAGAUCUUACUCCUUUUCCAUGGGUUCCCGUUGCUCACCAGCACCCCUGAGGACUAACAGUCCCGCUAGUGGGAUUUAUGCUAAGCCGUUGCCCAUACAACGGUCGAGUGGUUGCACGAUAGUGGAAUUAGGCAAGAUGACACAUCAACUCGGUCCUUAAUCACGACAGGAUGGAUAUCUCCCGACAUUGCUCAACCACCAAGGUACGAGCACAACAACAUGGCAUCCCACACGAGGAACACCCAUCCAUCCCGUCUACACAUCCUUUUUCCCCGAACCCAAAAGCCAUUUCUCUUACUUGGACACACGCACACAUAUAUUUUCCGAAUACACCAUUGUAAUAAUGAUUGCAUUUGAGUAACAAAUUCCUAAGCGUUCUAGCAGUGGUUAUCAUCUAAACAGAGCGAGUCAUAUUUAGAGAUAAGCAUAGGACAACAAGGAAUGUUCA